This is a long non-coding RNA of Capra hircus (goat), 1241 nucleotides long. RefSeq lists it as uncharacterized. The transcript is spliced from 3 exons. The record is from RefSeq and is a predicted model, not a curated record. NCBI's taxonomy places the organism in Eukaryota, Metazoa, Chordata, Mammalia, Artiodactyla, Bovidae.
UUUGAGUCCUGGCAAGAGUGGACGUGUGCCUUUGUAUGUGAAGUUGUCAGGUGCAGAAUGUGUACAGUCUCAUUCUCUCUUUAUAAUUUAGAGAUUUUACUGCCCUUUCUGCUGAGGUGGCAGCUGGAGAACAAAGCCGCCGGCAUCUCUCUAGAAGUUUGCGAUCCCAGCGGACCACCGCAGCCCCUUUACAAGCAGCACGGAGGAACUCCUCUGUCUGAAUCCCUCAGUACCUGCACACAGGUGAUUUAUCCUACUCCAGCCAGCAUCAGGAACCACUGGACUAGAGACGGUCCAACAAGAUGGAAAGUGGUCCAGAAAUAUGGUCCUGAGGAGCAUUUGAAGCAAUCUCCUCUUAGAAGGACAGCAAUGAAACAACAACCAUCAUAACAGUGGCCAGUAUCUACAGAGUGCAAUACGUCAGAUGUCAUCUUGCCUGGAGAACCCCCAUGGACAGAGGUUCCUGGCAGGCUGCAGUCCAUGGGGUCACAAAGAGUUGGACACGACUGAGAGACGAAGCACAGGGCAGAUGCUGUUCUACAUACUUCAGUCACAGACACAUUAACUCCCUGAAUCCCCACAUCGUUUCACUCCCAUUUGUGGAUAGAACAACAGUAGGACCGAGAUUGAAUGUCAUGCUCAGGGUCACAGCAUGUCAGUGACAGAGCUGGGAUUUAAACUCAGGCUGGGUCUUUUAACCAUUGCACAGCUAGCCUGAUGGGUCUUUCUAGAAUUCCACUUCUUUCCUUUCACUCUCCUGGAGACAUCAACAUGGGCUUGAAUGUUUGCAAAUGGGCAAUAAGAAGCCAAAUUCUAGAUCCUAGCUUUUGAGAGCUACCACCAACUGAUCCUUGUUAUUAAGGCGCUGGCUGGCCAACCUGGCCUGUCACUGUAAUAAAGGAUUCAUGAUAGGAAAGAAUUGGCUCUUCCCAAACUUCCCUGGUGGCACAGUGGAUAAGAACCCGCACAUGGGUUCGACCCCAGGUCCUGGAAGAUUCUACAUGCCACGGAGCAACUAAGCCCGUGCGUCACAACUGCUGAGCCUGCUCUCUGAAACCUGCAAGCUGCAACUGUAAUACUGAGCCGUGCGCUGCAACUAUUGAUGCCCAGACGCCUAGAGCCCAUGCUCUGCAGCGAGAGAAGCCACCACAAUGAGAAGCCCAGGCACCAAAAUGAAGAGCAGCCUCAGCUCACUGCAGCCAGAGAAAAGCCCAUGCACAGCAAUGAAGACCCAGUGUAGC